This 358-nucleotide long non-coding RNA is filed under the name Helianthus annuus (common sunflower). RNAcentral describes it as "sRNA HanXRQr2_Chr10g0420711". Lineage: Eukaryota; Viridiplantae; Streptophyta; Magnoliopsida; Asterales; Asteraceae. The record is from RNAcentral.
UAACACACUCUCUCUGUUCGAAUAACGACCUCGUCUGCGGGACUUGCAAGCCGCCGGAGUUCAUCGAGUUACGAUGGGACACGGUUCCUCUCGUUUCGCCAUCCCACCGGGGAUAUACGGACAUUUCCGGAGAUCGAGAAGGCAACCGGAGUGACCUGCACGCCUGUCGGAGCUACGAGUCGUCGCCCGAAGAUCGGAGGCAACGUGGGAAACGACCGAAGCCACAACGAGACUGAUUCAUCUUGUCGGUUGAUAGAUGAAGUGAUCAAGAAAACAAGCUAGGAUGAACCUAGAAACCCAUUUAGAAUAAACAAUGUUUUGAACUAUUUUUGGUACAAUGUUUGAAUCUUUGUUAUGA